Cinara cedri is the source of this 726-nucleotide non-coding RNA. NCBI's taxonomy places the organism in Eukaryota, Metazoa, Arthropoda, Insecta, Hemiptera, Aphididae. The record is from the annotation of a GenBank genome assembly.
CCGUUUAAAAAAAGUUUUUUUUUAAUUUGAUUCAUUUGCCUAGGACUCGUAUUAAGUAUAAUAAAUACAGCAUAUUUAAUUUAAAAAAUACAAUAAAAGUUAUUGUCUUGUAUUAAUUUUGGAUUUAAGGUUUUCAAUAUUACAAACAAAUAACUAAACUCUCACAGUAUCAUUAUAGGUGGUAAGAUGAGUAAAUAAUGUCUCAUGAAAUCAAUACAACAAAUAAACUGUAAUUAAAAACUAUUUAAUUUUAUCACUUUUGAUAAAUAUAUUACACAGAUAUUGUACAGACAAAAGUUGAUUUUUAAUGUCCUUUAAUCUAACGGGGAGGGUGACCAGGAGUACCUGGAUUGUAAUGUGCAUUAGAAAUAGUGCCAGGGCCCUCGAAAUACGGAUCAUCAGGGAGAUGAGAUUUCGGUGGAGGGGUAAACGGACCUUCACCUAUACCUUGUACUGACACCGGCAUAAAAGAAUAAAUAAUAACACACGAAACGAUAAAUUUUAAUAGCAUAUUUGCAAUAAAUCCGAAAUAGAUACGCGAAUAAUACGAUACUCUUAGGAGACACAAUUUUAAUUUUAUGCUUUGAUUUUAAUAUAUCUCAGUUAAACGCUACGGUCUUAACAAUUUAUAUUUCCUAAAUAGGUAUGAUUCCAGUGGACAGUAAUAAUUGCUACACGUUACGUUAUAGUAGUAGUCGACGGAUUAUCCAAAUGUUCUUGCUUGAG